RNAcentral lists this ribosomal RNA (493 nucleotides) under uncultured bacterium. Its description in RNAcentral is "bacterial SSU rRNA". It matches the Rfam family "Bacterial small subunit ribosomal RNA", at positions 30 to 518 of the family's 1533-position model. The record is from RNAcentral.
UGAACGCUAGCGACAGGCUAACACAUGCAAGUCGAGGGCAGCACGGAGUAGCAAUACUUGGUGGCGACCGGCGCACGGGUGAGUAACGCGUAUGCAACCUACCUAUCAGAGGGGAAUAACCCGGCGAAAGUCGGACUAAUACCGCAUAAAACAGGGGCACCGCAUGGUGAUAUUUGUUAAAGAAAUUCGCUGAUAGAUGGGCAUGCGUUCCAUUAGGUAGUUGGUGAGGUAACGGCUCACCAAGCCGACGAUGGAUAGGGGAACUGAGAGGUUGGUCCCCCACACUGGUACUGAGACACGGACCAGACUCCUACGGGAGGCAGCAGUGAGGAAUAUUGGUCAAUGGGCGGGAGCCUGAACCAGCCAAGUCGCGUGAAGGAAAGAAGGAUCUAUGGUUCGUAAACUUCUUUUGCAGGGGAAUAAAGUGCAGGACGUGUCCUGUUUUGUAUGUACCCUGAGAAUAAGGAUCGGCUAACUCCGUGCCAGCAGCUGC